UCUCUUGAGAGCGGCGGACGGGUGNNNNNNNCCUAGGAAUCUGCCUGGUAGUGGGGGAUAACGCUCGGAAACGGACGCUAAUACCGCAUACGUCCUACGGGAGAAAGCAGGGGACCUUCGGGCCUUGCGCUAUCAGAUGAGCCUAGGUCGGAUUAGCUAGUUGGUGAGGUAAUGGCUCACCAAGGCGACGAUCCGUAACUGGUCUGAGAGGAUGAUCAGUCACACUGGAACUGAGACACGGUCCAGACUCCUACGGGAGGCAGCAGUGGGGAAUAUUGGACAAUGGGCGAAAGCCUGAUCCAGCCAUGCCGCGUGUGUGAAGAAGGUCUUCGGAUUGUAAAGCACUUUAAGUUGGGAGGAAGGGCAUUAACCUAAUACGUUAGUGUUUUGACGUUACCGACAGAAUAAGCACCGGCUAACUCUGUGCCAGCAGCCGCGGUAAUACAGAGGGUGCAAGCGUUAAUCGGAAUUACUGGGCGUAAAGCGCGCGUAGGUGGUUCGUUAAGUUGGAUGUGAAAUCCCCGGGCUCAACCUGGGAACUGCAUUCAAAACUGUCNAGCUAGAGUAUGGUAGAGGGUGGUGGAAUUUCCUGUGUAGCGGUGAAAUGCGUAGAUAUAGGAAGGAACACCAGUGGCGAAGGCGACCACCUGGACUGAUACUGACACUGANGUGCGAAAAGCGUGGGGAGCAAACAGGAUUAGAUACCCUGGUAGUCCACGCCGUAAACGAUGUCAACUAGCCGUUGGGAGCCUUGAGCUCUUAGUGGCGCAGCUAACGCAUUANNUUGACCGCCUGGGGAGUACGGCCGCNAGGNUAAAACUCAAAUGAANUUGACGGGGGNCCGCAC
Molecule: ribosomal RNA, 847 nt
Filed under: Pseudomonas fluorescens
Lineage: Bacteria; Pseudomonadati; Pseudomonadota; Gammaproteobacteria; Pseudomonadales; Pseudomonadaceae
Also listed under: 1 other name
Description: bacterial SSU rRNA
Rfam family: Bacterial small subunit ribosomal RNA
Source: RNAcentral